This is a long non-coding RNA of Dioscorea cayenensis subsp. rotundata (Guinea yam), 708 nucleotides long. RefSeq lists it as uncharacterized. Lineage: Eukaryota; Viridiplantae; Streptophyta; Magnoliopsida; Dioscoreales; Dioscoreaceae. The record is from RefSeq and is a predicted model, not a curated record. The transcript is spliced from 3 exons.
UGAGACUUUGAAGAUUUAGGGAUGAAGAUUUAGGGUUCAUGGUGUUCAAGCAUCACAAUGAACACUUGUAUGCAUUGCUUCCAAGCCCUCACAUCAGAGCUGCGAAUUUUCCUAGUUUACUCAUAGCAAAGCAGAGAUUUCUCAGAAUGUCAUGGAGUCUACUGUGGACCUUGUCCUGCACUAUGGAGGUAAGUGGAGGAGUGAAGAUGAGAUGGUGUAUGAGGGUGGUCAAGUUGUGAAGGUUGAAUCAGUAGAUAUUGACUACUUAUCUUAUUUCAGCUUGUGGGAUUAUUUUGGGAAAGAACAGAGCAUCCUGAUAUUCAAUCCAACCUGUUCCUAGCCAAGAUAGUAACAUUCAAUCCAACCUGUUCCUAGCCAAGAUAGUUGGGAAAGAACAGAGCAUCCUGAUAUUCAUCCAUGGACUGUGAAGAAGCCCCCUGGUAGGCCUAGAAGAAAAAGAACGAAGAAACCAGAUGAGCCAAAAAAUCCUUACAAGGUUUCCAGGGCAGGUAAGAGUGUGGUGUGUGGCAAUUGUCAUCAAAUUGGGCAUAAUAUACGAGGAUGUAAAGCAUCUGUCACUGGAGAGAGUGCAUGGCAAAAGAGAGUUAGAAUUCAGAAAGCAAAGGCAAGUGGAACUUAUGUUCCAAGCGAGAACCCACCAAAUAAGGGAGGGAGACCAAGGAAGAGAAAAAACACAACAGAAGUAUG